RNAcentral lists this ribosomal RNA (1408 nucleotides) under Lactiplantibacillus plantarum. RNAcentral's name for it is "bacterial SSU rRNA". It matches the Rfam family "Bacterial small subunit ribosomal RNA", at positions 64 to 1441 of the family's 1533-position model. The record is from RNAcentral. Lineage: Bacteria; Bacillati; Bacillota; Bacilli; Lactobacillales; Lactobacillaceae.
GAACUCUGGUAUUGAUUGGUGCUUGCAUCAUGAUUUACAUUUGAGUGAGUGGCGAACUGGUGAGUAACACGUGGGAAACCUGCCCAGAAGCGGGGGAUAACACCUGGAAACAGAUGCUAAUACCGCAUAACAACUUGGACCGCAUGGUCCGAGCUUGAAAGAUGGCUUCGGCUAUCACUUUUGGAUGGUCCCGCGGCGUAUUAGCUAGAUGGUGGGGUAACGGCUCACCAUGGCAAUGAUACGUAGCCGACCUGAGAGGGUAAUCGGCCACAUUGGGACUGAGACACGGCCCAAACUCCUACGGGAGGCAGCAGUAGGGAAUCUUCCACAAUGGACGAAAGUCUGAUGGAGCAACGCCGCGUGAGUGAAGAAGGGUUUCGGCUCGUAAAACUCUGUUGUUAAAGAAGAACAUAUCUGAGAGUAACUGUUCAGGUAUUGACGGUAUUUAACCAGAAAGCCACGGCUAACUACGUGCCAGCAGCCGCGGUAAUACGUAGGUGGCAAGCGUUGUCCGGAUUUAUUGGGCGUAAAGCGAGCGCAGGCGGUUUUUUAAGUCUGAUGUGAAAGCCUUCGGCUCAACCGAAGAAGUGCAUCGGAAACUGGGAAACCUUGAGUGCAGAAGAGGACAGUKGAACUCCAUGUGUAGCGGUGAAAUGCGUAGAUAUAUGGAAGAACACCAGUGGCGAASGCGGCUGUCUGGUCUGUAACUGACGCUGAGGCUCGAAAGUAUGGGUAGCAAACAGGAUUAGAUACCCUGGUAGUCCAUACCGUAAACGAUGAAUGCUAAGUGUUGGAGGGUUUCCGCCCUUCAGUGCUGCAGCUAACGCAUUAAGCAUUCCGCCUGGGGAGUACGGCCGCAAGGCUGAAACUCAAAGGAAUUGACGGGGGCCCGCACAAGCGGUGGAGCAUGUGGUUUAAUUCGAAGCUACGCGAAGAACCUUACCAGGUCUUGACAUACUAUGCAAAUCUAAGAGAUUAGACGUUCCCUUCGGGGACAUGGAUACAGGUGGUGCAUGGUUGUCGUCAGCUCGUGUCGUGAGAUGUUGGGUUAAGUCCCGCAACGAGCGCAACCCUUAUUAUCAGUUGCCAGCAUUAAGUUGGGCACUCUGGUGAGACUGCCGGUGACAAACCGGAGGAAGGUGGGGAUGACGUCAAAUCAUCAUGCCCCUUAUGACCUGGGCUACACACGUGCUACAAUGGAUGGUACAACGAGUUGCGAACUCGCGAGAGUAAGCUAAUCUCUUAAAGCCAUUCUCAGUUCGGAUUGUAGGCUGCAACUCGCCUACAUGAAGUCGGAAUCGCUAGUAAUCGCGGAUCAGCAUGCCGCGGUGAAUACGUUCCCGGGCCUUGUACACACCGCCCGUCACACCAUGAGAGUUUGUAACACCCAAAGUCGGUGGGGUAACCU